Long non-coding RNA from Astyanax mexicanus (Mexican tetra), 712 nucleotides. RefSeq lists it as uncharacterized. The transcript is spliced from 3 exons. The record is from RefSeq and is a predicted model, not a curated record. NCBI's taxonomy places the organism in Eukaryota, Metazoa, Chordata, Actinopteri, Characiformes, Acestrorhamphidae.
GAAAGCCCCACUGUCUGACAGAAACACACCGGCCGAACUUCACACUGCAGCCGCACCAGCGCGGGGGACAACCGAACUCAACCCUGGAACUCCUCCGCUCUCAGCCGAGAGACGGCUCGAUUGAAAUGCAAAGGAAUUCCACGGCACAUAACGGCAAUGCACCGAGGAGCACCUCUGGCCCCCGCGCACCUUCAGCCUAACAUGCAAGACAAAAGUCUCUGAGAAGGAAAUGUAGCUCUGCAUGUAAAGGAGUGUAAUAUUGGCGUGAAGUUCUCUGGCAGUCCCCAGAAGGUCAGUGGCACAAUGAAGCAUGAAACCAACCCAUCUUGAGCUGCAGAGGACUGGGUGAGGUCAGGUCAUACUAGUAUUAAUAGAGGAAGUGUUUGGUCUCGCUGUGGAUUCAUGUACUCCCAACGACUAGAAGCAUUUGCCCGAUCACAGAUUGACAUGUGGUUCUUCAUGUAGAGGCAUCUGGACCAGAGGUGGAAAGUAACUAAUUACAUUUACUCACAUUACUGUAAUUGAGUACAUUUUAUGAGUAAUUUGUCAUUUUUAAAGUAGUUUUUAAAAGAGGUACUUUUACUCAAGUACAGUUUGUCACAAGUAAUUUAAUUCGCUACAUUGAAAAAAUCCCCAUUACUGAGUAACAAAUGAGAUGCUGGGGAAAAAAAACUAAUUGUCUGAAUAAAAAAAAAAAAUUAUUGAGUUUUGU